UGGCUUUUUUUUUUUUUUUUUUUUUUUGAAGGUGACAACUGAACAAAGUCAUGAAAAAGUAAGCGAAAGAGCUAUGCAGGUAUGUGAGGAAAAUAUUCUAGGUAGAGGGAAAAGCCAACACAAAGGCUAUUAAUAAAUUGCUGGUGCUUUCCAGCAAAAGCAAUUGGUCAUUGUGGAAGAAACAGAGUGAACAAGGGAGAAAGGUAUGGGAAAUAACAUGAAGGGGGAAAAGAGCCAGAUCAUGUAGGGCCUCCAGGACAUGGUGAGUGCUUUGGCUUUUACACCGAGUGAAAUAGGGAGCUACAAUAGGGGUUUGAGCAGAUGAGUGACAUAAUCUGAUUUACACUUAAAAAAAUUCUGGUGGCUAGAUUAAAAAUAACUGUGGGCAGGAGCAGGGAGAUGAAUUAGUCUAUUGCAGGAGGUGACAGUAGCUUUAACCAAAGUGGUGAUAGUGGACGCUCCAGGCAAAUAGGGUGUCAAAAGCCGAGGUGCAGAGAUGGAAAGUUCAGUUCAAGGCCGGUAUCAGAACUGUGAGCAAACCAGUUGUCUUUCUAACGGGGGAAGGAAAAUGACAGCUGCCAUUUAUUGAACAUUCACUAUGUGGCAAGCAUUGUGCUAAAUUUGAUACUCCGGCGACCUCUUUUAGUCUCCAUGACAACCCUGUAAAGACAUUUAGAAUUUAGAACCUUUCAUACAGUUCCAUGACUAAAACGUAGCACACCUGGCAUUCCAACCCUUCAUUUCAUUCUACUCUAGCACUAAAGCUAGAAGGGAAGCUUGAGGCCACAUUGUGGAGUGCCAAGAGGUUUGAACUUUUGCCUGGUUUGAACUUUUACCUUCUUAAUCUUUUCCCCGCAUCCCCACAUUUGAGGACAGGACACCUCCAGGAACUGCAGCUCAGCAACAGGGGUUCAGCGUGAGCGCGGCCUGGGGAGGGUCAUCGCCUUUUUGGGGAGUGUGGGGAGAAACGCGGCUCGCCUUGUCGUGGCUGGCGAUACGCCUCUGCAGGAAGGGUGUGUCUCCCCGCUUGAGGAUUCUCCCUAUAGAUAAAGAGGAGACUCAGCAGAGCCUUAAUUAGAGAUCACAGAGGACUGACAACGAGCGUCCGGAAGACGAAUUGGCAGCGAGGUGCAUGGAUUCGAUACAGAAGCUGGAGAUAGAGUCCAGCUAACAGACCACUGCAGUUCGACGGAGCCAGAGUGAGGCAACGAGGAGAGAUGUCGGGGAAGGAAAGGGGAUGGGACUUGGGGACUGGAGCGGCUCGAGAGCGACGGAGAAGGGGGCGUUAGGCUCUAAGGAUUCUCUUACUGUGCCUCCUCCCCGUGUCCUCGGGUGGCGGCUGCGCAGCCCUCCAGCCCUCAGAGCUGCCCUGCAGCACCUUGGCCACUAGGAGGCAGGCCCGCCUUAUCUGGAGCCCCGGCCGCCGCUCACUCCAGGGAGGGCUGCGCUGCUGCUUAAAUUCCAAGUCAGGCCAGCCCCUGGAACGCUUAAUGGGAGCUUAGAUUUAGAACAGUUGAUUUUCAUUGAGACGGAAAUUUGGACAGUCUCCCACUUGAUUGAAAACGGCUAGAAACAAGGCUUACGGUAGAGCAAUGAAUGCCAGAGUGCAGGCGCCGGUGCCCAGGCGGCCCGGGGAACAGGAGGGCCGGAGGAGGAAACAGCUGCCUGCAAAACACCAGCAGCGCCCUUAAUUAACACCAGUGCUGGCCAGGGGGAUUGUGCUUCCGGAAAUUCCCAACGUCCUUUCCCUGCUUGCCCAGGGCCAUUCCAUUAUACAGUUUCAGACCAGUCCCAGGUCUGAAAUGGAAAGAGAUGUUACCCUAGAUGCCCGGAGACAGCGGGGCCGCAGAGACCUCGCACAGCCGAAUAGCAGUGGAGCAGAGCACAUCUGCUGGUGGGUUCAACAAAAGGGGCUCCCUUUAAAGAAGAAGACUGAGAAGCUGGAAUGAAUCCAGAGGAAAGGAUGAAAAGCACUCGUUUGAUUACUGAGAGGAUAGCUGGAGAAGUGAAGAAUAAUGUGAUGUUCAGCUCAAAC
This 2035-nucleotide long non-coding RNA is filed under the name Homo sapiens (human). RNAcentral's name for it is "HSALNT0293713". The record is from RNAcentral. Lineage: Eukaryota; Metazoa; Chordata; Mammalia; Primates; Hominidae.